RNAcentral lists this ribosomal RNA (468 nucleotides) under uncultured bacterium. Its description in RNAcentral is "partial 16S ribosomal RNA". It matches the Rfam family "Bacterial small subunit ribosomal RNA", at positions 28 to 507 of the family's 1533-position model. The record is from RNAcentral.
GACGAACGCUGGCGGCGUGCUUAACACAUGCAAGUCGAACGGAAAGGCCCUGCUUUUGUGGGGUGCUCGAGUGGCGAACGGGUGAGCAACACGUGAGUAACCUGCCCUUGACUUUGGGAUAACUUCAGGAAACUGGGGCUAAUACCGGAUAGGAGCUCCUGCUACAUGGUGGGGGUUGGAAAGUUUCGGCGGUUGGGGAUGGACUCGCGGCUUAUCAGCUUGUUGGUGGGGUAGUGGCUUACCAAGGCUUUGACGGGUAGCCGGCCUGAGAGGGUGACCGGCCACAUUGGGACUGAGAUACGGCCCAGACUCCUACGGGAGGCAGCGGUGGGGAAUAUUGCACAAUGGGCGGAAGCCUGAUGCAGCAACGCCGCGUGCGGGAUGACGGCCUUCGGGUUGUAAACCGCUUUCGCCGGUGACGAAGCGUGAGUGACGGUAAUGGGUAAAGAAGCACCGGCUAACUACGUG